CCUACGGGAGGCAGCAGUGAGGAAUAUUGGUCAAUGGACGCAAGUCUGAACCAGCCAUGCCGCGUGCAGGAAGACGGCUCUAUGAGUUGUAAACUGCUUUUGUACGAGGGUAAACGCAGAUACGCGUAUCUGUCUGAAAGUAUCGUACGAAUAAGGAUCGGCUAACUCCGUGCCAGCAGCCGCGGUAAUACGGAGGAUUCAAGCGUUAUCCGGAUUUAUUGGGUUUAAAGGGUGCGUAGGCGGGCGGAUAAGUUAGCGGUGAAAUCCCGAGGCUCAACUUCGGAAUUGCCUCUGAUACUGUUCGGCUAGAGAGUAGUUGCGGUAGGCGGAAUGUAUGGUGUAGCGGUGAAAUGCUUAGAGAUCAUACAGAACACCGAUUGCGAAGGCAGCUUACCAGGCUACUUCUGACGUUGAGGCACGAAAGCGUGGGGAGCGAACAGGAUUAGAUACCCCGGUAGUC
This 460-nucleotide ribosomal RNA is filed under the name uncultured bacterium. RNAcentral describes it as "partial 16S ribosomal RNA". It matches the Rfam family "Bacterial small subunit ribosomal RNA", at positions 338 to 795 of the family's 1533-position model. The record is from RNAcentral.